Molecule: long non-coding RNA, 774 nt
Organism: Thamnophis elegans (Western terrestrial garter snake)
Lineage: Eukaryota; Metazoa; Chordata; Lepidosauria; Squamata; Natricidae
Exons: 2
Source: RefSeq, a predicted model, not a curated record
CAAGACUCUGCUGUUGACCUGAGCUGAAAGCAAUUAUUUCUCUUAGCACGAAGGGAAUCUUCUAUCAUUGUUCAGAUGAGGCAUCAGCAACAACAAGAGUCACUUUUGCAAAGUAGGAUUGGGGUGGGAUUCAGAAGUUCAGAAGAGAGAAAAUCUUUUGUUCCCUCACAUAUCAUGAAACAUAGUUGCAGACAACAGGCAAGUAUACAGAUCCUCCCCCAUGUAUUAAUUCUAUUUUAUAUCCGAUACUUUAUUUACAUUAGAAGAAGGGGAAUCUGAUCUCUGCAAUCAUCUCUUUAAUGCAUGAUCGAAAUAAAAUAAUAUUUCGAAACAAGAAUGUUACAACUGAAUUGAAAUCUCCCACACGGUGUAGAGGUGUGAAAUGGGACUAUCUAAAAAGAUGAAAUAAACUACAAAGGAAAUGUCAAUCAGGGAACAAAAUUGGAAUAAAAAAGAAACAAUUAAUUAAAGAUCACAAUGCAUUGGUGAAUGGAAUUCAAAAUGAAGAUGGAAGUUGAAAAGAUAUUUCAACUCCCAGAACUGAGCCUAUUUAGUAUUAAAAUUUUUUGAGGGGCUAACAACUGUAAUCUGAGUUUUCAUGUAAAAAUAAUUUAAAGUGAAAUGUUAUCAUUUGUAAGGGAACAUAAUGGCUCAAUGGUUAAAGAGAUGAGCUUGUCAGCAGGAAAACUGAUAUCACGAGUUCAAGACCUGACCACCACGCGAUGGGGUGAGUUCCCAUUACCUGCCCCAGCUCCUAUCAACCUAGCAGUUUGA